AGCCUGAACGCUGGCGGCGUGGCUAAGACAUGCAAGUCGUACGGGUGUAGCAAUACACCAGUGGCGAACGGGUGAGUAAUGUAUCGCUAAUGUGCCCCGGAUUCUGGGAUAGCUACCCGAAAGGGUAGGUAAUACCAGAUGAUAUAACUUUGCCGCAUGGCAGAGUUCUCAAAGGAGUAAUCCGCUCUGGGAGCAGGCGAUAUCGUAUCAGCUAGUUGGUGAGGUAACGGCUCACCAAGGCGACGACGCGUAGCCGGACUGAGAGGUUGGCCGGCCACAUUGGGACUGAGACACUGCCCAGACUCCUACGGGGGGCUGGCAGUAACGAAUCUUCCGCAAUGCACGAAAGUGUGACGGAGCGACGCCGCGUGUGGGACGAAGCCCUUCGGGGUGUAAACCACUGUCAGGGGUUAGAAAGUUCUGAUCAACCCAGAGGAAGGCACGGCUAACUCUGCGCCAGCAGCCGCGGU
RNAcentral lists this ribosomal RNA (470 nucleotides) under uncultured bacterium. Its description in RNAcentral is "SSU rRNA". It matches the Rfam family "Bacterial small subunit ribosomal RNA", at positions 26 to 521 of the family's 1533-position model. The record is from RNAcentral.